Molecule: ribosomal RNA, 920 nt
Filed under: Salmonella enterica subsp. diarizonae
Lineage: Bacteria; Pseudomonadati; Pseudomonadota; Gammaproteobacteria; Enterobacterales; Enterobacteriaceae
Description: partial 23S ribosomal RNA
Rfam family: Bacterial large subunit ribosomal RNA
Source: RNAcentral
GGGUUGUGAGGUUAAGCGACUAAGCGUACACGGUGGAUGCCCUGGCAGUCAGAGGCGAUGAAGGACGUGCUAAUCUGCGAUAAGCGUCGGUAAGGUGAUAUGAACCGUUAUAACCGGCGAUUUCCGAAUGGGGAAACCCAGUGCAAUUCGUUGCACUAUCGUUAAGUGAAUACAUAGCUUAACGAAGCGAACCGGGGGAACUGAAACAUCUAAGUACCCCGAGGAAAAGAAAUCAACCGAGAUUCCCCCAGUAGCGGCGAGCGAACGGGGAGCAGCCCAGAGUCUGAAUCAGCAUGUGUGUUAGUGGAAGCGUCUGGAAAGUCGCACGAUACAGGGUGAAAGUCCCGUACACCAAAAUGCACAUGUUGUGAACUCGAAGAGUAGGGCGGGACACGUGGUAUCCUGUCUGAAUAUGGGGGGACCAUCCUCCAAGGCUAAAUACUCCUGACUGACCGAUAGUGAACCAGUACCGUGAGGGAAAGGCGAAAAGAACCCCGGCGAGGGGAGUGAAAAAGAACCUGAAACCGUGUACGUACAAGCAGUGGGAGCCUCUUUAUGGGGUGACUGCGUACCUUUUGUAUAAUGGGUCAGCGACUUAUAUUCUGUAGCAAGGUUAACCGAAUAGGGGAGCCGAAGGGAAACCGAGUCUUAACUGGGCGUUAAGUUGCAGGGUAUAGACCCGAAACCCGGUGAUCUAGCCAUGGGCAGGUUGAAGGUUGGGUAACACUAACUGGAGGACCGAACCGACUAAUGUUGAAAAAUUAGCGGAUGACCUGUGGCUGGGGGUGAAAGGCCAAUCAAACCGGGAGAUAGCUGGUUCUCCCCGAAAGCUAUUUAGGUAGCGCCUCGUGAAUUCAUCUUCGGGGGUAGAGCACUGUUUCGGCUAGGGGGUCAUCCCGACUUACCAACCCGAUGCAAAC